RNAcentral lists this ribosomal RNA (253 nucleotides) under uncultured bacterium. RNAcentral's name for it is "partial 16S ribosomal RNA". It matches the Rfam family "Bacterial small subunit ribosomal RNA", at positions 524 to 776 of the family's 1533-position model. The record is from RNAcentral.
UACGAAGGGGGCUAGCGUUGUUCGGAAUCACUGGGCGUAAAGGGCGCGUAGGCGGUUCUUCAAGUCUCUCGUGAAAUCCCUCGGCUUAACUGAGGACGUGCGGGAGAUACUGAAGGGCUUGAGUCCGGAAGAGGGUGGUGGAAUUCCCAGUGUAGCGGUGAAAUGCGUAGAUAUUGGGAGGAACACCGGUGGCGAAGGCGGCCACCUGGGCCGGAACUGACGCUGAGGCGCGAAAGCGUGGGGAGCAAACGGG